Erinaceus europaeus (western European hedgehog) is the source of this 369-nucleotide long non-coding RNA. RefSeq lists it as uncharacterized. The transcript is spliced from 2 exons. Lineage: Eukaryota; Metazoa; Chordata; Mammalia; Eulipotyphla; Erinaceidae. The record is from RefSeq and is a predicted model, not a curated record.
CAGUGAGGGUGUCUAGCAUCUUCCUGGCUGUGAGGCUGGGGUGCCCUUCCGGAGUGUCAGGAUUCCAUUUCCCAGUCCCAAGGUCAGGAGUCCAGGAACAGGAGGGUGUGGACAGCAACCGCCCUGAGCUGGCCUCUCUGCUGGGGUGCUUGAAAUGCCGGGGUCUGAGCUCUUUCCUUGGAAGUGCAGAAACUCAAAGACGAGCCUUUCCCGGCCCUGCCUUGCUGUUGAGAUGAAGGACAUGCAGCCUCUGCGAUAUUUGAUGUGCUUCCAGGAAGAAACCAAAGCCUUUAAGCACAGUGGCACCGCCAAGAGGCUUCCCUGGUUCAUUACCAUAAAUGUAAUAGGUACGUGCAGUGAUGAACAGUA